GUGAGGAAUAUUGUGCAAUGGAGGCAACUCUGACGCAGCCAUGCCGCGUGCAGGAAGAAGGCGCUACGCGUUGUAAACUGCUUUUAACCGGGAAGAAACCCCAGGACGUGUCCUGGGUUGACGGUACCGGAGGAAUAAGCACCGGCUAACUUCGUGCCAGCAGCCGCGGUAAUACGAAGGGUGCAAGCGUUAUCCGGAUUCAUUGGGUUUAAAGGGUGCGUAGGCGGAGCGUUAAGUCAGUGGUGAAAUCCUGCAGCUUAACUGUAGACUUGCCAUUGAUACUGGCGCUCUUGAGUGCGCUUGAAGUGGGCGGAAUGUGCCGUGUAGCGGUGAAAUGCUUAGAUAUGGCACAGAACACCAAUUGCGAAGGCAGCUCACUAAGGCGAUACUGACGCUGAGGCACGAAAGCGUGGGGAUCGAACAGGAUUAGAAACCCGAGUAGUCC
This 445-nucleotide ribosomal RNA is filed under the name uncultured bacterium. RNAcentral's name for it is "partial 16S ribosomal RNA". It matches the Rfam family "Bacterial small subunit ribosomal RNA", at positions 354 to 796 of the family's 1533-position model. The record is from RNAcentral.